This is a non-coding RNA of Coffea arabica (coffee), 465 nucleotides long. The record is from RefSeq and is a predicted model, not a curated record. Lineage: Eukaryota; Viridiplantae; Streptophyta; Magnoliopsida; Gentianales; Rubiaceae.
AGAACUCCCAUUUUCACACCAAAACAGCCGACCAAACAGGGAAGGAAAGAAAGGAAGAAAAGCUUCUUCAUUCUUGCACCAAUCUUUCUCCAUUUCAUCUCAAAAUUUGCAUCCAACUUAACCACUUGGAGAUUCACUUAGGCAAGGAGAAGAGCUUCAUUUCCCCGGUUUUCUUCAGGCUUCAAAGGGCCGAAAAUUCUGACUUGAACAACCACCAAAGUAGGGCCGAAUCUCGGGGAAGUAUGGAGAAACCCUUCGUUGUCCUUUUGUUUAGGAUUUCUACUAUAUUUUGGCUAUGCCCUGGUUUGGGUUGUACUUUUGAAAUUAAAAUGUAAAAUUUGGGCCCUGACGUGUAUUUAGGAUUUAAGUUGUAUUAUGAUUACCCGAUGUACUGGUUACAUGUUAAAUGACUUGAUAAGUUUUAACGCUUCUGCAUUAUUUGUAUUCAUGUUGCUCUCUUCGAAA